UCUCUCUUGCUUAUCCUAAACUUAUCUUCCUCUCUUUUCUUUUUGUUACAGACGGCAAACACUAACUCUCUCCAUCUUCAUCUCCCCCUCUUCAACAAUAAUGGUGAAACAGAAGAAUCACCAAAAGAAAUUUAACCAUUUUCUUCAUCUACUAUAUCUCCUCCAUAAAACCACAAGAUAACUGAAAUAGUUUCACCUCCAAAAUGAAAAACCACAUCUUCUGAGCUAUGUUCAUCAUCGUUAGAUAACCUCUUUACUCCAUCUCCUCAUGGUCUCUCAUCUCUCUAAAAGCCCAAACUUCUUACCAAUUGGAAAACCCCAAUAAUCGUUCAAUUCCAGAUCUAUUCAAGGUCGUCAAUUGAUUAAUUACACAAAAGGAACACCCUAACUGGUGUUUCAUUUUUUUUGUUGGGUAAUUCUCAGUAUUACACCUACCAACAGCUAAUUGCAGACAUAUCGGUGUGGACAUGGCUAUGGAGAAAAUGGGGCAAGAAUAGUUGCUCGAGAAAUUGUGUGCUGAGCAUAUCUAGGGGUUUGGAAUGGGAUGCUGGUUUCUAUAUUGGACAGGGGAGGAGACCCCAGCUUAUUCUCUGUGGAAGAUAUAUUGGAGAGGAGUGGUAUGACGUAGUUUAUAUGUCCUUCACAUUCAGUUCUGGUAAAGGGACAUUGUGGAGGAUUUGGUGUUGGUGGGUAGGUUUUGAGGGAGGAGGAUCAUGUUAUAAGAGUGUUUUUUUGGUGUCUAUGGUGGGAGGUUUUGCUGUUGUGGUGGACUAGGAGAGGCAGAUGGUGGAGGUAGAGGUGGUGGUGAUGGGCAUGAAUAGAUAUUGUAGAUUCUUGUACAUCAAAGCCUGUUUUAAGAUAGGAUAUUCUGAAGAUAUGGUGUUCACAAGCCUAAGGCGUCCAUGGAUACUGAGAAUGGGGAGAAUGUUGAAGAUCAUGAGUCAUUGCUGCCCUGGUUUGCCACUACAAUUUUUAUGCUCGCGAGGUGGUUGAUAGAAAUCAUGAAAGAAGGGAAAAUGGUGAGAUUGCUGAAAUGAUGAUUAAAAGAAUGGUUGUUGUUUUUAUGCCCAAUGGUCUAGGGAAUACACUAGGAAGAUACACAUGAUCCUGGAAGCUAUCCUAAGGUCGGAGAUGAAGAAGGGAUAGGAAGAUAGCACCACUAAUAAUUUUAUUACUAAGUUGGGGUUACGGUUCAUUUUAAUAAUUUUAUUCAUUAAGUUAAGCGUUAACCAACGUAAGAAUGGCUCUCUUGCUCAUCACACUCUCAAUCAUGCUGACUUCUGAAAGUUAAUGGUGUUGUUAAAGAUAUCAAGAUUCUUUUAAAUAAAUUUCGGUCAUCAUUUCGAAUUUCAAUUUUGUUUAUUGUUGUGGCAUGUGGUGCCUGCCUCAACUUGUUUGGUAAUGAAAGCUUGGUUAUUAUUAUCUGGAAAGGGUUGAUGCUUGCUGAGAUAAUGAACUAUUUUGCAGUCCAUACAUUAGUUGAAGCGUAUGAGAUAUUCACACUAAUUUUGCAGUCAUUACAAUAGCUUAUUUACAUUAUUAGUUAUUUCAUUGUUAGUCACUGCAAGUCAUUGUGUAAUCUUUAUUAGUUUGCAUCUAGUUGUCUCUUUGUUAAUCUUUGUUGGAUAUUUAUGACUUGUUUUGUGCUUUCAGGGAUCUGGAAAUGCAAUAGCAAGCUAAUUGACCUAUUAGUUUCUAACAUGAAACCAAGUGCAGAAGCUUCCUAUUUCAAGUGUUGCAGAUUCUUUUUCUUCAAAGACACCACCUGACAAGAUCUAGAACUAUGGAGAAGCAUUAUGGUUACGUGAAAUUUCACCCAUGUUGCCUUCGUAGUUAUUCUAUAGUAAUUUGUUUUUUAGAUUUUUGUAUGUUCCGUAAAUUGUUUUCAUAGUUGGAACUGAUUGUAGUUCUUUAUUGUGAAAUGAAAUCCAUGUGUUUAAUGAAUUUUUCACAAAUGUAUAACUCGAUGUUGGGGUUGUAUAUUGAGUUUCGUGAAUACAAGUUAAAACUC
Papaver somniferum (opium poppy) is the source of this 2011-nucleotide long non-coding RNA. RefSeq lists it as uncharacterized. The transcript is spliced from 9 exons. The record is from RefSeq and is a predicted model, not a curated record. NCBI's taxonomy places the organism in Eukaryota, Viridiplantae, Streptophyta, Magnoliopsida, Ranunculales, Papaveraceae.